CCAUCAAGUCACCUCUGACUCAUAACAACCCUAUGAAUGAGUGAUCUGCAAAUGUUCUGUCCUCAGCUGCUUUGCUCAGCUUUUGUAAACUGAAGCCUGUGGCUUUCCUUAGGAAUUCAGUCCAACUCAUAUUUGGUGUAAUGAGUGUAGCAGUGGGAGCAGUUUUUGCCUAUGCUGUUGGAUUGUCAGCCAGCUGCAGAGCUCAGUCUCCUGACAUUCUUCAUGCUCAGUUCUGAGAGAAUCAGUGGGAAGAAACUUGGGACUACCUGAAACUGUCUGGUAAUUACUUGCAAGCAAACAUUCAUGCAGAAACUAAGAGGGGUGAAUUCUAUACAACACAGACCUUUCCAUAUCCAGUGACAUGCAAUUACCAAUUCUAAGAAGUGUAGUACAGAAUCCUUAAAUUAACAACUCCACCCCUUUUUUUAAACACUGAACAAUAAUGACCCUAAGGUAAUAAUUAACAGGGCAUUCUGAUUCAUCUUCCUAUGAUUGCUUAGUAUAUGCUAGGAACAAUUGUGCCAGUAGUGCAUCGUUCCUAAGUAUAGAAAGUGACUUCACCCUGUAAUAAAGCUGUAUCUGUUUCGGAAACA
This 593-nucleotide long non-coding RNA is filed under the name Pogona vitticeps (central bearded dragon). Its description in RNAcentral is "lncRNA (ENSPVIG00000001627.1)". Lineage: Eukaryota; Metazoa; Chordata; Lepidosauria; Squamata; Agamidae. The record is from RNAcentral.